Molecule: ribosomal RNA, 332 nt
Filed under: Crystallibacter crystallopoietes
Lineage: Bacteria; Bacillati; Actinomycetota; Actinomycetes; Micrococcales; Micrococcaceae
Description: bacterial SSU rRNA
Rfam family: Bacterial small subunit ribosomal RNA
Source: RNAcentral
CUUUCAGCAGGGAAGAAGCGAAAGUGACGGUACCUGCAGAAGAAGCGCCGGCUAACUACGUGCCAGCAGCCGCGGUAAUACGUAGGGCGCAAGCGUUGUCCGGAAUUAUUGGGCGUAAAGAGCUCGUAGGCGGUUUGUCGCGUCUGCUGUGAAAGCCCGGGGCUCAACCCCGGGUCUGCAGUGGGUACGGGCAGACUAGAGUGCAGUAGGGGAGACUGGAAUUCCUGGUGUAGCGGUGAAAUGCGCAGAUAUCAGGAGGAACACCGAUGGCGAAGGCAGGUCUCUGGGCUGUAACUGACGCUGAGGAGCGAAAGCAUGGGGAGCGAACAGGA